GAUGAACGCUAGCGGCAGGCCUAACACAUGCAAGUCGAGGGGUAGAAGGAGCUUGCUCCUUUGAGACCGGCGCACGGGUGCGUAACGCGUAUGCAAUCUACCUUGUACAGGGGAAUAGCCCAGAGAAAUUUGGAUUAAUGCCCCAUAGUAUAUAACCUUCGCAUGUUGGUUAUAUUAAAGUUCCAACGGUACAAGAUGAGCAUGCGUCCCAUUAGUUAGUUGGUAAGGUAACGGCUUACCAAGACGAUGAUGGGUAGGGGUCCUGAGAGGGAGAUCCCCCACAAUGGUACUGAGACACGGACCAGACUCCUACGGGAGGCAGCAGUGAGGAAUAUUGGUCAAUGGUCGCAAGACUGAACCAGCCAUGCCGCGUGCAGGAAGACGGUCCUAUGGAUUGUAAACUGCUUUUAUACAGGAAGAAACCCUCCCACGUGUGGGAGCUUGACGGUACUGUAGGAAUAAGGAUCGGCUAACUCCGUG
RNAcentral lists this ribosomal RNA (480 nucleotides) under uncultured bacterium. Its description in RNAcentral is "partial 16S ribosomal RNA". It matches the Rfam family "Bacterial small subunit ribosomal RNA", at positions 28 to 507 of the family's 1533-position model. The record is from RNAcentral.